GACGGAAGGUGCAAGCGUUGCUCGGAAUCACUGGGCGUAAAGGGUGCGUAGGCGGCCGUGCAAGUCUGGCGUGAAAGCCCCGGGCUCAGCCCGGGAAGUGCGCUCGAAACUGCGCGGCUCGAGUGCCGGAGGGGAGAGUGGAAUUCCUGGUGUAGCGGUGAAAUGCGUAGAUAUCAGGAGGAAUACCGGUGGCGAAGGCGGGUCUCUGGGCAGUAACUGACGCUGAGGAGCGAAAGCGUGGGGAGCGAACAGG
Molecule: ribosomal RNA, 253 nt
Filed under: uncultured bacterium
Lineage: Bacteria
Description: partial 16S ribosomal RNA
Rfam family: Bacterial small subunit ribosomal RNA
Source: RNAcentral